UACAAAUAGGAUCUGUCAUUAUCACAAUAACAAACUUCAAAGUUCCAACCGCAAUUAGAAUUACCAUUGCAUUCUAAUGGUUGGGUGCACUAAACAAUUUAUAAGAAAGAGAUAUAGUUAAUUAGGAUACUAAUUGAAAGUAAAAUGAAUUGAAUCUGAGUGGAAUUAGCUUUUCAUACUAUGAUGUAAAACUUUCUUCUUGUCUAAAAGCUCCCUUGAUAUCCCUUGUCCCAAAACCCGAACAACGUCGCACCUCCUGAUCCUCGUUCAUCGGCAGCCUGAGCCUCUUGCUCUUCCAAGGUCGUCGCCAAGCCACCGCAUACCACCAUCGCAAAAAGAGACUAUGUGGGAGCAAGUGCUUCUUACCGAAAAAAUGUUAACUUACCCCUACCUUCACCGCCAUAAUUAUCUCGUCUCGCAUUCUUCUGAUGCUUGGAUGAUUUCUGAGUGCUAGGGCUUCCUUGAAUCAAUGGAUCUCUCCAAAUCCUAGGGGCGGAGAAUUCGUUGUAGGAGACUUUUGAGGUUGUGAGAGUUGCCACCCAAUUUGUCUACACAAGGUUUGAAGAUGAUGCAUCAUUGGGUUCGGGAUUGGAGAGCUUGUGUAGUUUCAUUAUCAUAAUUUGAAAUUUAUACAUUUUAUAAUUGGUUUUAGUUUUGAGUUAACUUUGACUUUGUUGGUUCACAUUUGGAGUUGACUUUGUAGUUGAUUAAAUUUUAAUUCUAAAAGUUAUUUAAUA
This is a long non-coding RNA of Beta vulgaris subsp. vulgaris (sugar beet), 737 nucleotides long. RefSeq lists it as uncharacterized. Lineage: Eukaryota; Viridiplantae; Streptophyta; Magnoliopsida; Caryophyllales; Amaranthaceae. The record is from RefSeq and is a predicted model, not a curated record. The transcript has 3 exons.